RNAcentral lists this ribosomal RNA (253 nucleotides) under uncultured bacterium. RNAcentral's name for it is "partial 16S ribosomal RNA". It matches the Rfam family "Bacterial small subunit ribosomal RNA", at positions 524 to 776 of the family's 1533-position model. The record is from RNAcentral.
GACGAACCGAGCGAACGUUAUUCGGAAUCACUGGGCUUAAAGGGCGCGUAGGCGGGCGGCCAAGUCAAGGGUGAAAGCCCCCAGCUCAACUGGGGAAGUGCCUCUGAUACUGGCCAUCUCGAGCGAGGUAGGGGCGUGCGGAACUUCCGGUGGAGCGGUGAAAUGCGUAGAUAUCGGAAGGAACACCGGUGGCGAAAGCGGCGCGCUGGACCUCUUCUGACGCUGAGGCGCGAAAGCCAGGGGAGCAAACGGG